UCUCAGUUCUCUAGCGGCCGCUUCUCUUCUUCUUCUCACUCUCAUAGCAGCAGCUAUUAAUCAAUAAUCAUUCAUGAUCUUACACCAGUAACACCACCACCACAAGUAACUCAAUAUUGGGUGCUUAUCCAGAACCAGAGGAGUUUGAUGAUCCAAUGAUGCUUGAUUAAUGACUGUUGAAGUUCAGGUUGCAGACUUGAGAUGGAAAGGAACUAUGGAAGUGCUGGUUUUAACACCUUUAUGUUAAACUUUUAACAAUAUUUUCCUUCAGUUAUGUUAGUUAAAGUCUUUAAGAACUUUUUUCAUGUUUAUCAGACAGUUUAUGUUAGUCAAACUCAAAACUCAUUAACUUUGAAGUUUUUAGCUUGUUUUUGUUUUAAAGAACUUAUAUAGUUAUGUUAGUUAUACAUGGUGUGUUUUUGUUUUUAAAGAACAAGUUUUUGGCUUGUUCUGAAUCUGGUGGCAGGAAAUUAAGAUGGCAGGGAAAAACUGCAGGAAAAUUUCAGGAGUAAAAUUGUCAGGCAGGCAGACACGGUUUAAAACCGGUACCGAACUGAGCCGACUCUGAUCGGUUUAAUACCGAACCGAGUGAUGGUCGGCUCGGCCACGGUUUCAGAUUUGAAAACCGACCCCUGGUCGGCUCGGUGGACGGUUUCGCCUAAAAACUGGGCCGACCGGCCGAUGUGCAGGCCUAUAUAUGGCGGUGAAAUAUGUUGUUGAUAAAGAAUGGAAACUUAAGGGUGAAUUUAUUAUGACUUUACGUGGUGAA
Molecule: long non-coding RNA, 769 nt
Organism: Papaver somniferum (opium poppy)
Lineage: Eukaryota; Viridiplantae; Streptophyta; Magnoliopsida; Ranunculales; Papaveraceae
Exons: 2
Source: RefSeq, a predicted model, not a curated record